This 252-nucleotide ribosomal RNA is filed under the name uncultured bacterium. RNAcentral's name for it is "partial 16S ribosomal RNA". It matches the Rfam family "Bacterial small subunit ribosomal RNA", at positions 524 to 776 of the family's 1533-position model. The record is from RNAcentral.
UACGUAGGUUCCGAGCGUUGUCCGGAUUUAUUGGGCGUAAAGCGAGCGCAGGUGGUUUAUUAAGUCUGGUGUAAAAGGCAGUGGCUCAACCAUUGUAUGCAUUGGAAACUGGUAGACUUGAGUGCAGGAGAGGAGAGUGGAAUUCCAUGUGUAGCGGUGAAAUGCGUAGAUAUAUGGAGGAACACCGGUGGCGAAAGCGGCUCUCUGGCCUGUAACUGACACUGAGGCUCGAAAGCGUGGGGAGCAAACAGG